AACAAAAUUUGUUCUGGGUAUAAGCUUUCAUGUGUAUGCACACUUCUUCAGAGAGUACUUCUUCUUUCUGAAGAAGUUUGCAUGCACACAAAAGCUUAUACCCAGAACAAACUUAAUUGG
Molecule: non-coding RNA, 120 nt
Organism: Podarcis lilfordi (Lilford's wall lizard)
Lineage: Eukaryota; Metazoa; Chordata; Lepidosauria; Squamata; Lacertidae
Source: the annotation of a GenBank genome assembly